Molecule: ribosomal RNA, 482 nt
Filed under: uncultured bacterium
Lineage: Bacteria
Description: partial 16S ribosomal RNA
Rfam family: Bacterial small subunit ribosomal RNA
Source: RNAcentral
GACGAACGCUGGCGGCGUGCUUAACACAUGCAAGUCGAACGAUGAAGAAGAGGAACGCGAACUUCUGUUCAAAUUUCACUUCGGAUUAGUGGCAGACGGGUGAGUAACGCGUGAGCAACCUACCUCUUACAAAGGGAUAGCCUCGGGAAACCGUGAUUAAUACCAUAUGACACAUUCAUAAGGCAUCUUAAGAAUGUUAAAGCUACGUCGGUAAGAGAUGGGGUCGCGUCCCAUUAGCUAGUUGGUGAGGUAACGGGCCACCAAGGCGACGAUGGGUAACAGGCUGGGGAGGGGGAACGGUCAAAAUGGAAAUGAGACACGGUACAAACGAAUACGGGAGGAAGCAGUGGGGAAUAAUGCACAAAGGAGGGAACACUGAUGGAGCGACGCGGCGUGAAAGAUGAAGGAAUUCGUUUCGUAAAGCUCUGUUUUAUGGGAAGAAAAGGACGGUACCAUAGGAGAAAGCCCCGGCUAAAUACGUG